RNAcentral lists this ribosomal RNA (774 nucleotides) under uncultured Neocallimastigales. Its description in RNAcentral is "partial large subunit ribosomal RNA". It matches the Rfam family "Eukaryotic large subunit ribosomal RNA", at positions 22 to 640 of the family's 3401-position model. Lineage: Eukaryota; Fungi; Neocallimastigomycota; Neocallimastigomycetes; Neocallimastigales. The record is from RNAcentral.
GUACACGCUGUGACUAGCAUAUCAAUAAGCGGAGGAAAAGAAACUAACAAGGAUUCCCUUAGUAACGGCGAGUGAAGCGGGAAGAGCUCAAAUUUGAAAUCUUAAAGGGUUUCCCUUUACGAAUUGUAGUUUAAAGAAGUGUUUUCUGUUGAGGUUUUGGUAAAAGUUCUUUGGAAUAGGACAUCAUAGAGGGUGAGAAUCCCGUAUUUGACCUUUACUUUCAACUUUGUGAUGCACUUUCAAAGAGUCGGAUUGUUUGGGAAUGCAGUCCAAAAUGGGUGGUAAAUUUCAUCUAAAGCUAAAUAUUGGCGAGAGACCGAUAGCGAACAAGUACCGUGAGGGAAAGAUGAAAAGAACUUUGAAAAGAGAGUUAAACAGUACGUGAAAUUGUCAAAAGGGAAGCGUUUGACACCAGUGUUGUUUUUCUGAAAAUCAAUUAAAGAACUGUUUAUGCUAAGCUGUUUAGACUUUAUCAGCUAUCUGUUUAGUUUUAGGCUUUUCUUUAAUGCACUUUUCAGUUAACAAGUCAACAUCAAUUUCUUUUGCUGUAAAAAAGCUUGAGGAAGGUGGCUUGAGAUUCGUCUUAAGUGUUUAUAGCCUCUUGCCUAUGCAGUCGGAGAGAUUGAGGUCUGCAGCGUAGAUCCUUCGGGGCUAAAUGCAUUUGUGCUAAGUUAUAGCAUUUUAUAGACAACUUGUUGACUAUGAUUUGUCUUGUAGCUUACUCGCUUAUGUUAUUUUACCUACGCUUAGGAUGUUGAUAUGCAUGACUGAUAU